This is a long non-coding RNA of Etheostoma spectabile (orangethroat darter), 142 nucleotides long. RefSeq lists it as uncharacterized. The transcript has 3 exons. Lineage: Eukaryota; Metazoa; Chordata; Actinopteri; Perciformes; Percidae. The record is from RefSeq and is a predicted model, not a curated record.
CAUUGAAAUGGGUUCCAGAGACCAUCACCACAACCGUUCUCACUAAAGAGAAGGAGACAUUGGAAGGGGUCCAACCACAACAGGCUGCUACAUCCACGGAUGCUCCACAGCCAGCUGCUAAACCUGAGGUAGCUACUACAAA